UCCGUAGUUCAAUGGAUAGAACAAAAGUUUCCUAAACUUUAGAUGCAGGUUCGAUUCCUGCCGGA
This 65-nucleotide transfer RNA is filed under the name uncultured Brumimicrobium sp. It matches the Rfam family "tRNA". Rfam says of the family: Transfer RNA (tRNA) molecules are approximately 80 nucleotides in length. Their secondary structure includes four short double-helical elements and three loops (D, anti-codon, and T loops). Lineage: Bacteria; Pseudomonadati; Bacteroidota; Flavobacteriia; Flavobacteriales; Crocinitomicaceae. The record is from RNAcentral.